AAGACCUUGCGCUUUUGGAGCGGCCGAUGCCUGAUUAGCUUGUUGGUAAGGUAAAAGCUUACCAAGGCUUCGAUCAGUAGCUGGUCUGAGAGGACGGCCAGCCACACUGGGACUGAGACACGGCCCAGACUCCCACGGGAGGCAGCAGUGGGGAAUUUUGGACAAUGGGGGCAACCCUGAUCCAGCCAUGCCGCGUGAGUGAAGAAGGCCUUCGGGUUGUAAAGCUCUUUCAGCCGGAACGAAACGGUUACGGUUAAUACCCGUGACUAAUGACGGUACCGGAAGAAGAAGCACCGGCUAACUACGUGCCAGCAGCCGCGGUAAUACGUAGGGUGCGAGCGUUAAUCGGAAUUACUGGGCGUAAAGCGUGCGCAGGUGGUUUUGUAAGUCAGAUGUGAAAGCCCCGGGCUCAACCUGGGAACU
This 423-nucleotide ribosomal RNA is filed under the name uncultured bacterium. Its description in RNAcentral is "bacterial SSU rRNA". It matches the Rfam family "Bacterial small subunit ribosomal RNA", at positions 207 to 622 of the family's 1533-position model. The record is from RNAcentral.